AUUCUACCCAAGCGGGGAAGGAUGAGAAGCUUCGACCAAGGUUCGACUUGAGCGCCAGCGAGAGAGCGUUGCCGCAGGCAACGACCCGAAGGGCGAAGCGCGCAGCGCUGAGUAAUCCUUCCCCCACCACCA
RNAcentral lists this small RNA (132 nucleotides) under Escherichia coli. Its description in RNAcentral is "RtT sRNA". It matches the Rfam family "RtT RNA". From Rfam's summary of the family: This family represents a bacterial cis-regulatory element known as RtT RNA. The exact function of RtT is unknown although it is thought that it may be involved in changing the cellular response in relation to amino acid starvation. The record is from RNAcentral. Lineage: Bacteria; Pseudomonadati; Pseudomonadota; Gammaproteobacteria; Enterobacterales; Enterobacteriaceae.